CCGGUGGUCGAGAUAUACCCUAGAAUUUAUUAUAACAACAGCUACCGCGGCCACUCGACGACGAAGGUACUUACCUCACUAAUAUAAUAAUAUGCAUACGGUAAUAUAACUAUAAUAGUUAUGAACCCUUGUGUUUCGAGUAUGUAUAACCUAAGUAUUUGCUACUGCAGCACCGUAUAUGUAUACGAUUCCCGAACAUCUC
This is a non-coding RNA of Cinara cedri, 202 nucleotides long. Lineage: Eukaryota; Metazoa; Arthropoda; Insecta; Hemiptera; Aphididae. The record is from the annotation of a GenBank genome assembly.